Synergistales bacterium 53_16 is the source of this 121-nucleotide non-coding RNA. Lineage: Bacteria; Thermotogati; Synergistota; Synergistia; Synergistales. The record is from Rfam.
AACAGUUUGUUUCUCCGAGCCGGAUCGCCUAAAGGCCUUAAAGCCCAUGGCCACCGGCCGCCAGGGUGUCGCCGGAAACGGCUGCGCCUCCCUUUUGGAAAGGAGGAACGGCGUCAUUAGU